UCUGGAACAAUUGGGCCGAAAGCCUGAUCCAGCGACGCCGCGUUGGAGGAUGAAGGCCUCGGGGUGUAAACCCUGUGCGAGGGAGGGAAUAAAGGGCCCUGGAGGGAAAUGCCAGGCCGAUGACUGUACCUCGCGAGGGAAGCCCCGGCUAACUACGUGCCAGCAGCCGCGGUAAUACGUAGGGGGGCGAGCGUUACCCGGAUUCACUGGGCGUAAAGCGGGUGUAGGCGGCUCGGUAAGUCGGGUGUGAAAUCCCACAGCUCAACUGUGGAAUUGCGCCCGAAACUGCUGAGCUUGGGGCCGGUAGAGGGAGACGGAACUGCCGGUGUAGGGGUGAAAUCCGUAGAUAUCGGCAGGAACGCCGGUGGGGAAGCCGGUCUCCUGGGCCGCGCCCGACGCUGAGACCCGAAAGCUAGGGGAGCAAACCGGAUUAGAUACCCGGGUAGUCCUAGCCGUAAACGAUGCCCACUAGGUGUGGGGGAUUAAUUCCUCCGUGCUGUAGCUAACGCGUUAAGUGGGCCGCCUGGGGAGUACGCCCGCAAGGGUGAAACUCAAAGGAAUUGGCGGGACCCCGCACAAGCGGUGGAGCGCGUGGUUUAAUUGGAUGCUGAGCCAAGAACCUUACCAGGGCUUGACAUGCAGGUGGUACCGACCCGAAAGGGGAGGGACCCCAUCCUUUUGGAUGGGGAGCCUGCACAGGUGGUGCACGGCCGUCGUCAGCUCGUGCCGUGAGGUGUUGGGUUAAGUCCCGCAACGAGCGCAACCCCUGCCCUUAGUUGCCAUCGGUUCGGCCAGGCACUCUAAGGGGACUGCCGGCGACGAGCCGGAGGAAGGAGGGGACGACGUCAGGUACUCGUGCCCUUUAUGCCCUGGGCUACACACGCGCUACAAUGGGUGGUACAAUGGGUUGCGACCCCGCGAGGGGGAGCCAAUCCCUAAAACCACCCUCAGUUCGGAUCGCAGGCUGCAACCCGCCUGCGUGAAGCCGGAAUCGCUAGUAAUCGCGGAUCAGCCACGCCGCGGUGAAUACGUUCCCGGGGUU
Molecule: ribosomal RNA, 1042 nt
Filed under: Thermotoga sp. enrichment culture
Lineage: Bacteria; Thermotogati; Thermotogota; Thermotogae; Thermotogales; Thermotogaceae
Description: bacterial SSU rRNA
Rfam family: Bacterial small subunit ribosomal RNA
Source: RNAcentral